Molecule: ribosomal RNA, 253 nt
Filed under: uncultured bacterium
Lineage: Bacteria
Description: partial 16S ribosomal RNA
Rfam family: Bacterial small subunit ribosomal RNA
Source: RNAcentral
UACGUAGGGCGCAAGCGUUGUCCGGAAUUAUUGGGCGUAAAGAGCUCGUAGGCGGCUUGUCACGUCGGGUGUGAAAGCCCGGGGCUUAACCCCGGGUCUGCAUUCGAUACGGGCUAGCUAGAGUGUGGUAGGGGAGAUCGGAAUUCCUGGUGUAGCGGUGAAAUGCGCAGAUAUCAGGAGGAACACCGGUGGCGAAGGCGGAUCUCUGGGCCUGUCCUGACGCUGAGGCGCGAAAGCUAGGGGAGCGAACAGG